Molecule: ribosomal RNA, 497 nt
Filed under: uncultured bacterium
Lineage: Bacteria
Description: partial 16S ribosomal RNA
Rfam family: Bacterial small subunit ribosomal RNA
Source: RNAcentral
GAUGAACGCUGGCGGCGUGCCUAAUACAUGCAAGUCGAGCGAACGGACGAGAAUCUUGCUUCUCUGAUGUUAGCGGCGGACGGGUGAGUAACACGUGGAUAACCUACCUAUAAGACUGGGAUAACUUCGGGAAACCGGAGCUAAUACCGGAUAAUCUUUUGAACCGCAUGGUUCAAAAGUGAAAGACGGUCUUGCUGUCACUUAUAGAUGGAUCCGCGCUGCAUUAGCUAGUUGGUAAGGUAACGGCUUACCAAGGCAACGAUGCAUAGCCGACCUGAGAGGGGGAAGGGCCACACUGGAACUGAGACACGGUACAGACUCCGACGGGAGGCAGCAGUAGGGAAUCGUCGGAGAUGGGCGAAAGCCUGAAGGAGCAACGCCGGGUGAGUGAUGAAGGUCUUCGGAUCGUAAAACUCUGUUAUUAGGGAAGAACAUAUGUGUAAGUAACUGUGCACAUCUUGACGGUACCGAAUCAGAAAGCCACGGCUAACUACGUG